RNAcentral lists this ribosomal RNA (119 nucleotides) under Cimex lectularius (bed bug). Lineage: Eukaryota; Metazoa; Arthropoda; Insecta; Hemiptera; Cimicidae. The record is from RNAcentral.
GCCAACGUCCAUACCAUGCUGAAUACACCGGUUCUCGUCCGAUCACCGAAGUUAAGCACCAUCGGGCGUGGUUAGUACCUGGAUGGGUGACCGCCUGGGAACACCGCGUGCUGUUGGCU